Molecule: ribosomal RNA, 1166 nt
Filed under: Candidatus Magasanikbacteria bacterium GW2011_GWC2_45_8
Lineage: Bacteria; Candidatus Magasanikiibacteriota
Description: bacterial SSU rRNA
Rfam family: Bacterial small subunit ribosomal RNA
Source: RNAcentral
CCAGACACCUACGGGUGGCUGCAGUCGCGAAUCUUCCUCAAUGGCCGAAAGGCUGAAGGAGCGACGCCGCGUGCAGGAUGAAGGCCUUCGGGUCGUAAACUGCUUUUGCAGGGGACGAACGUAUGACGGUACCCUGAGAAUAAGAGGUUGCUAACUCUGUGCCAGCAGCAGCGGUAAUACAGAGACCUCAAGCGUUAUCCGGAUUUAUUGGGCGUAAAGCGUCCGCAGGUGGUUUGAAAAGUCAUUGGUCAAAUCUUGAAGCUCAACUUCAAGACUGCUUGUGAUACUUUCAGACUAGAGGAUGGGAGAGGCGAGUGGAAUUACCGGUGUAGUAGUAAAAUGCGUUUAUAUCGGUAAGAACACCAGAGGCGAAGGCGGCUCGCUGGAACAUUCCUGACACUCAUGGACGAAAGCGUGGGGAGCAAAACGGAUUAGAUACCCGUGUAGUCCACGCCCUAAACGAUGGAUACUAGGUAUUGGCAGUAUCGACCCUGUCAGUGCCGGUGACAAUAGCUAACGCGUUAAGUAUCCCGCCUGGGAAGUACGGUCGCAAGACUAAAACUCAAAGGAAUAGACGGGGACCCGCACAAGCGGUGGAGCAUGUGGUUUAAUUCGACGGUAAGCGAAGAACCUUACCAGGGCUUGAACUGUAGCUGCAAAUCCCAUGAAAGUGGGACUCCUUCGAGGGUGCUAUAGAGGUGCUGCAUGGUUGUCGUCAGCUCGUGCUGUGAAGUGUACCGUUAAGUCGGGAAACGAGCGCAACCCCUAUGCUGUGUUAAAUUGUACACAGCAAACUGCCUUGGAUAACAAGGAGGAAGGAAGGGAUGACGCCAAAUCAGCAUGGCUCUUACGUCCUGGGCCACACACGUGCUACAAUGGGAAGUAACAAAGGGUUUUGCCAAGUCGCGAGACGGAGCUAAUCCCAGAAACCUUCCCCCAGUUCAGAUUGGAGUCUGCAACUCGACUCCAUGAAGUCGGAAUCGCUAGUAAACGCCGAUCAGCCACGCGGCGUUGAAUACGUUCUCGGGUCUUGUACUCACCGCCCGUCAAGCCAAGGGAGUUGGCAAUGCCUGAAUCUCGUUUUCACGGGAGAGGGCAGGGUCAGCAACAGGGGCUAAGUCGUAACAAGGCAUCCGUAGCGGAAGCUGUGGAUGGAUCACCUCCUU